This 1589-nucleotide unclassified non-coding RNA is filed under the name Hevea brasiliensis (rubber tree). The record is from RNAcentral. Lineage: Eukaryota; Viridiplantae; Streptophyta; Magnoliopsida; Malpighiales; Euphorbiaceae.
GGAAUUGUCACCGGAAACACGUCGAAGACGGGUGAUCUAUCUCCUCUCUCUAUCUCCUCCUCUCCAUUUCCCCUCUUUUAACUUCGCUUUAACUCACUCUCUACGAAGAAGCAAUACAAAAAUCAAUUAAUCUCGAUUCGAUCGAGUUCAAAUCCGGCGGCGGAUAUGGCGGAUAAAGGCAGAGACGGCGGCCACUCGAGUUUACUCGACGGGAAGUACGAAUUAGGCCGUCUUCUAGGGCAUGGAACCUUCGCUAAGGUUUAUCAUGCUCGGAAUCUGCGAACGGGGAAGAGCGUCGCGAUGAAAGUGGUUGGGAAGGAGAAGAUCAUUAAAGUCGGCAUGACGGAGCAGAUCAAGAGAGAAAUCUCUGUGAUGAAAAUGGUGAAGCAUCCGAAUAUUGUGGAGCUUCAUGAGGUGAUGGCGAGUAAAUCGAAGAUCUAUUUCGCGAUGGAGUUCGUUAGAGGCGGUGAACUGUUCUCCAAAAUCGCGAAAGGUCGGUUGCGAGAGGAUGUGGCUAGGGUUUACUUUCAGCAAUUAAUCUCUGCAAUCGAUUUCUGCCAUAGCCGUGGAGUUUACCACCGUGAUCUGAAACCGGAAAACCUCCUACUCGACGAAGACGGUAACCUCAAGGUCACCGACUUCGGCCUCACCGCCUUCUCAGAGCACUUGAAGCAAGACGGAUUGUUGCAUACAACGUGUGGAACUCCGGCGUACGUCGCGCCGGAGGUCAUCGGAAAGCAAGGAUACGACGGCGCGAAGGCCGAUCUGUGGUCUUGUGGAGUCAUCCUUUACGUUCUUCUCGCCGGAUACCUUCCAUUCCAGGAUGACAACAUGGUGGCGAUGUACCGGAAGAUUUACAGAGGCGACUUCAAGUGUCCGCCGUGGUUCUCUCCCGAAGCCCGUCGGCUAAUCACGAAGCUUCUAGAUCCUAAUCCAGUGACCAGAGUCGGUAUCGCGAAGAUUACAUCGUCCUCGUGGUUCAAGAAAUCGGUACCCAAGACUCUGAGUACGAAGGAGGAGCAAGAACAAACAGAGGAGAAUUUCACGAAAUCAAAGCCACCGGCGGAAACAUUGAACGCGUUCCACAUAAUAUCUCUAUCGGAAGGUUUUGAUCUGUCGCCGUUGUUCGAGGAGAAGAAAAGGGAGGAGAAAGAGGAGAUGAGAUUCGCGACUUCGUCGCCGGCGAGCAGUGUGAUAUCGAAGCUUGAGGAAGUGGCGAAGUCAGUGAAGUUCGAUGUGAAGAAGAGCGAAUCGUGGGUUCGAUUGCAGGGGCAAGAGAAAGGGAGAAAGGGGAAACUGACGAUCGCGGCGGAUAUCUUUGCGAUGACGCCGUCGUUUGUGGUGGUGGAGGUGAAGAAGGACAACGGAGAUACUUUGGAGUAUAAUCAGUUCUGCAGGAAGGAGCUCCGGCCGGCAUUGAAGGACAUUGUUUGGACUUCUCCGACGGGAAACUCGACCCCAGCUUGAAGAAUUGUGAUGAAUUCAUCAGAUUUAUGAGAUUGUGAUUUCAAGUUGGGGAAUGGUUUGAGUUUCUAUUUUAUGAAAUGAUAAUUGGUAUGAUUGUUUUGCUUACGAAAUGGAAAUUAUGU